Molecule: long non-coding RNA, 1113 nt
Organism: Apis florea (little honeybee)
Lineage: Eukaryota; Metazoa; Arthropoda; Insecta; Hymenoptera; Apidae
Source: RefSeq, a predicted model, not a curated record
CAAAUCAUAUCAAGAUUUUGUGUUAUAAACAUAAUGAAAUCACGAAACUUUGAAAUAUUAAACUACUAUUGAUUAAAAUAAGGUAGGUUCGGAAGAACUGCUGAAUCCAUAUUGAGUCGUAGCUGUUUGUGCGCUACUCUUAUCGCGUAUUGCAAUUUAAUCAAAUCUGGGCCACUUAUAUUCAAAUAUUUGUUAUUAUAGAUGCAAUUAAUUUGUUAAUAUUUGUUAAAAGUUUUAUAACAUAAAUAAAUAUGUUUAACAUUGUUAAACAUGUUGAUUCAUGAAUUUAUGCUUGAUUUGCUAAGUCUUGUUGAUUGGCUACGACCCUGCCGCGUUGUGACGUCAUCAGGCAACCCCAUUCACCCUCCCAAUGAGUCUGGUUACAGCACCAGCUGAUAUCGAGCAGGAAGACCCCGACCAAUACAUGCGAUGACCUACUGAUAUACACAUGGGAAAAGAGAUCUAUUGAGGGGACAUCUUCACUUUGAAUUUACCUUGAGCGAGCGAAAAUAUAGAUGAAACAGUUCCAUACCCUGACCUUGAAUGUAUUAGAUGUGUUCAAGCAAUUAUUUCAAUACAAUUGAAAUCCUCGACUAUGAUAAUAAAUCUCCAUUGAAGAAAGACAAGUCAAAGUGUUAUGAUAUCGACAGAUUAAUAAAAUUUCUGUAUUAUUAUUCUGACAAUUAUAGCGAAGUAUGGAAACAUUGAUCAAAAGUAUGUGCAUAUGGGAGGCUCUUCAACGACAUUUGAAACCACACGAGACGUUCGAUCAGCAGUAAAUAGGGCAGGGCGGCUGGAUAGACGGUAGGGGUGAGUCGCGUGAGGAACUAACAAGCGCUGCGUGACAUUGCAGGUCCUUAUGUAAUCGACAGAAACUAAAACGAAGAGAUUAUCCUUCUUUGUUGAUAUAAAAACAUUUCUGAUUAACACGAGGAGCAUCCCCUUGGUCACGGUACCACACGGUGCAGGGAGAACAGAAUUCGAAGAGUAUGAGAGAAUGCAGCGGAGGGAGGGGAGAAAGUGGGUCGCUCGAUAACCCUCGCGUGGGCCAGGUUCUAUGAACCAAAAUUCCAAAUUUUAACAAAUUGCAUCGAAAUUAACAUAAUUUUUCUU